GUAGGGGGAUUACCGGCUGGAGGGCACAGUCGGUGAGGGGCAGUGGGCUCGGACGGGGAGGAGCAAUGGCUGAGACAAUAGACACGAACAGAGAACAAGGAGUGUUAUUUUAAAAAGGGCCCCAGACAGUCCUUCCAGAUGCUGCCUGGCUUGCUGCAUUCCACCGGCAUUUUGUUUGGUUGGACACAGAGAGACACCGAAUCAAGCAAGAGCCCUGUUCCCUGUUAAUUCUGGCUACCACCUCCAUCACCACAUCCACCUGAGCCAGCUGGCCCCUCCCUGUAACAAGUCCCUUGGCCUCUGCCUGCCUCUGCACAAACUCAGCACUCCCCCCUCAUGGCUUUUCUUUGGCUUACAGAUCCAAAACUGUGAACCAACCUUGGACUGUGCCUUUAGAACACAAAUCUACCCUUACCGAGGCACACCUCAUCACACUAUGUUUGCUAACCAUCUGUGUGUUGGAUUCCACCAAAGCUCAAGUCAUGCUUAUUUGAAAGAAAGAACUUGCAUUCAUAUAGCACCAUUCAAGAUCAGCAGCUGCAGGACUUCAUGGCCAAUGAGACAAGAUGAUAGCACUGUUAUUAUCAUUUGUAAUGUA
Long non-coding RNA from Hypanus sabinus (Atlantic stingray), 598 nucleotides. RefSeq lists it as uncharacterized. The record is from RefSeq and is a predicted model, not a curated record. Lineage: Eukaryota; Metazoa; Chordata; Chondrichthyes; Myliobatiformes; Dasyatidae. The transcript is spliced from 5 exons.